Molecule: ribosomal RNA, 723 nt
Filed under: uncultured bacterium
Lineage: Bacteria
Description: bacterial SSU rRNA
Rfam family: Bacterial small subunit ribosomal RNA
Source: RNAcentral
ACACAUGCAAGUCGAGGGGCAGCGGGGUUGAAGCUUGCUUCAACCGCCGGCGACCGGCGCACGGGUGAGUAACACGUAUCCAACCUGCCGAUAACUCCGGGAUAGCCUUUCGAAAGAAAGAUUAAUACCGGAUGGCAUAGUUUUCCCGCAUGGAAUAACUAUUAAAGAAUUUCGGUUAUCGAUGGGGAUGCGUUCCAUUAGGCAGUUGGCGGGGUAACGGCCCACCAAACCGACGAUGGAUAGGGGUUCUGAGAGGAAGGUCCCCCACACUGGAACUGAGACACGGUCCAAACUCCUACGGGAGGCAGCAGUGAGGAAUAUUGGUCAAUGGACGAGAGUCUGAACCAGCCAAGUAGCGUGAAGGAUGACUGCCCUAUGGGUUGUAAACUUCUUUUAUACGGGAAUAAAGUUAGCCACGUGUGGUUUUUUGCAUGUACCGUAUGAAUAAAGAUCGGCUAACUCCGUGCCAGCAGCCGCGGUAAUACGGAGGAUCCGAGCGUUAUCCGGAUUUAUUGGGUUUAAAGGGAGCGUAGGCGGGGUAUUAAGUCAGUUGUGAAAGUUUGCGGCUCAGCCGUAAAAUUGCAGUUGAUACUGGUAUCCUUGAGUGCAGCAGAGGUGGGCGGAAUUCGUGGUGUAGCGGUGAAAUGCUUAGAUAUCACGAAGAACUCCGAUUGCGAAGGCAGCUCACUGGAGUGUAACUGACGCUGAUGCUCGAAAGUGUGG